This is a long non-coding RNA of Zea mays, 3295 nucleotides long. RefSeq lists it as uncharacterized. NCBI's taxonomy places the organism in Eukaryota, Viridiplantae, Streptophyta, Magnoliopsida, Poales, Poaceae. The transcript is spliced from 4 exons. The record is from RefSeq and is a predicted model, not a curated record.
AACCUAAACCUAACAAGGGACAUCUUGCAUGGGCUGAUGCUUUUGUCAUAACAGGAGACUCGAUAAGUAUGUUAAGUGAAGCAUGCAGCACAAGGUAAGCUAUUGUCUUAUUGGACCGAUGACUUGCACGUUGCAACCUUUUUAUGAAGUUUCAAGAGUGUGAAUAGCUUCAAACUGUUUUGGCGCACUAGCAGUAGCAUUAGUUGCUUUUGAGUUCUAACCAAACAGGACGAACAGAGUAAAUGUUUCCACAAAUUCCACUGAACAUGAUUUCUGUAUAGGCAUCAAUUCACGUAAAUUGCAUAUCAUGUCUGGUGUUUUCUUGGGGACAAUGUAAUUUUUAGCUGACCAAUAUAAUGAAUGCAUAGUACCAAAAUUUGAAAAGUAUAGUAAUGUUCCUUUCUUUUGUUAAAUAAUAGUCAGUAAGGAUUCCUGGCUGGGAUGCAACCCUUUUUUGUUGGGGACUAGCAUUGAGGUUGUGGGGUUUUUUUACUUUCACUUGCAUAGCUAUCGGCUGGUUUAUUUUUGGUGCUCCAGGUGUUUGAUGUAAUCACUCUGUAGGUGUGCACAUUCAGCUUGAUACUGAAGAACGUCGCGUCGCUGUUCAUGAAUAAGGAUUCCCUCAAGGUUGAAGCUGAUACUAAGCUUGGGGAGCUCAUAAAGUAUGUUUAUAGCUAGCUAGCAUCACAUGAGACUCACAGAAAUACAGAAUUCCCUCAGCCUGUGACUUCUCCAUCUGUUUCGUUUCUCCAUGCGACGACAUACUAGGUCUGUAAGCGGCGCCGCGCAUGGCGGGUGUCAGGUGAGCAGCAAGGGGCAGAAGUGCCGGCCAUGUGGACGAGCAGCGUGGGCGAGAGGCGAGGUACAAGCAACAGCAGUGCGGGCAUGCAAAGAGCCAGGGAGGCAGCAGCCAUGCGAGGUGUGCUGCGUGCAGUAACGACAUCAAUUUGCUUCCUUCUUUACUCUGCUUGAUUUGGGAUUUCUUCUACUUGCUUCAUUUAUUCUUUAGUUUAUUUGAUUUGGGGAAAGCAAUCCGAACUUCAGUGAAAAACCGAACACCACACCAAAAAAGUCGACACUGAAUCAAUGUGUGCUUUCUCUAAAUUCUAUCAGUAGCCAUGUAAUAUAGUUGUUACAUGCCAUGAACUUACACCUGCAAUUUUUGUGUUGCAAAAAACCUAGAGAAGAGGCCCGUAAUUUACACUUGUCAGAAUUUCUAUACUUCUCUCUAUGCUGGAUCUAGAUGUUCAUGUUAGAUAUGUUGGUCGUACUUUUGAUACGGUAAGCAAGAUUGCUCCACUAGAUGACUGUACAGCCAACUCACCUAUGACUGACAUGAGUUUGUUGAGUGUAACCCUAGAACUUAUGAUUAUGAUAAGCUGUCACCCACAUUUAGCAGUAUAUUCAAGAAGAUAAAAAAGAGCCAGCAAACAAACUCUCCUAUACUUCAUAUUUCUGAUGUAACUCCUUAUUGUGUUUUAAUUGUGUCUAUAUAUGAGAAAUAAAUUAGGGAACAAACUUUUUUAUUGUGUUUUAACCGUGUCUACAUCUGAGAAAUAAAUUAGGGAAGAAAGUUUUUUAUUGUGUUUUAACUGUGUCUACAUCUGAGAAAUAAAUUAGGGAAGAAAGUUUUUUCAUUGACGAUGGCAUAUAUUCUGAUAAACUGGGCAUGGUUAAUACAAUUGUAGAGCGCAUUUCUAUGAGAAAUCGAGUUUUGACCAGAACAGAUCAGAUGCAAGAAGAUAUUGAAAUGAAAUUGAUGGCUACCAGAAUUCACAGGUUAAGUACCGAUCAUUUCCUUUUACAUGUUUGUUUGAGCCAACAACUCAUGUAUUAUGUUAUCAGUCGUGGAUUACUGGUAUCAACCUUCUAACUGUUCUUCAUCUAAUUGAGGUGAGAACAAAGAGCUGCGGGUCGGGGUAAGGAGGCUCACGAGACCACUAAAUAACAUGCCGUCUUCGGUUAUCUCAAGCCACAACAUGCAUCUUGUUUGCUAAAAAAGUUCUAUUUCUCAAAUUGCUAACUGCAUGAUUCUUUACUGCUAGGUCUUGAUUUGUUGGAUGAUAUCUUGUUGGGUUAUAAAGCUGAAUGGCCAAUGGAUAUUGGCAUUACAAUAGACGCACUGAAAAUAUAUGCUGAAAGUCAGGUUUUCAAUGUUUUUACUGAUUGAAGUAUGGAGAUAUGUAAAUUUUCUUAUCAAGUAUCUACAACAAGCAGUUUGCUUUGCUCUAGCUCUCAUAAUAGAUCUUUAUAAUGUGACAUUUUGCUAUGUAUGUGAACAUAUGACCCUCUUGAUUUGUUGGAUGAUAUCUUGUUUACUUGUAGUAGUGAUCUUGUUUACUCAGGGAGAAGCUGAGGUAGGAGUGCCUGCGGAAGGGGACGGAACUGGCGCAUGGGGUGGCUGACGCCCUCUUCGCUGUAUCACCCACCGAGGACCUCGACGGCCCUAUCGUACACCUCCCACCGCCCGCUGUUCGACUCCCGCGCGAGAAGCAUCUUGGUGCUGGGACCUCACUGCCAGGAUUCCAGGAUUAGUAGCUGCAAAGGUAGGGGCAGAUGUAACACUAACAGACAUGUGCCUAAAAUCUAUCCAAUGACACUGAUGAGCGCUAUGUAUUGUGUACUCAUCAGGUUACAAUUUACAGUUCACCUGCUGCUGCUGGUUAUUGAUGAUUCGUGUAUUCGCCUCAUAGGAAUUUUAUUUUUCAAAAGUAGCAUGACUGCAUCAUUGUGAUUUGAUUCUUUCUGCCUAAGACUGACCUUAUGUUACUUGCUUCCGGAGCAUGUAACAUCCUGCUGCCUGUGAAUUUCUUUUUCUGCACAUAAGGAUUUGAACAUCAAGUUUCAGUCGAACCGCAGCAGUUCUCGAUGUGAUGCCAUGCCAUAACAUGACAGAGUGGGAAGAAUUGGAUCAGAUGUCAGAAGCUGGUGGAGAUAUCAAUUCUCGAAUACUUCCUCUGAAGGAUAUUGAGAAUCAAGAUCUCUUGAUGAGUGAGACCAACAGUGCCUGUGAGGCACAUGAGGAUACAGAGGACCAGCCUUCAGAGAAGGAUGCACCUGUUGCAUGGGAAGAGGAUGAGAAUAAUGUAGGUUGGAUGCCUCUGUUAGCCGCAGCACACACAGAAAAUAUUUCACGUAUAUGAGAUCCAACAAUCCUAUCAUCGAAAUAUGAAAAGCUUCAUGAUUAUGUCAGUACCUGUAGGAACAGAGUAAUAGUUGACAUUUCACUUAUAUAGGAGUCAUACAGGAAUGAACUGUUAAUUUCACAUAUAUAUACAACUACUUUAACUUCUAU